This 175-nucleotide non-coding RNA is filed under the name Candidatus Cloacimonadota bacterium. RNAcentral's name for it is "Candidatus Cloacimonetes bacterium 6S RNA". It matches the Rfam family "6S / SsrS RNA". Rfam says of the family: E. coli 6S RNA was the first non coding RNA to be sequenced, but its function was unknown until recently. It consists of 184 nucleotides that fold into an extended hairpin structure with a large single-stranded internal bulge. The record is from RNAcentral. Lineage: Bacteria; Pseudomonadati; Candidatus Cloacimonadota.
AGAAGCCUGCAGUACGCGUGAUAUUUUUUUUGUUUCUGAACUAAUGUUUUAUCGGGAAUCGAGCCAUUUGUGGCGCACAUGCCGGACAUGAUCCGGAUCUGCAAAGCAAACAAGGUAGAUGCCCACUUUGAUGUGGGUUCGAGAAAACAAAAAUACACGGUACUGCGGGUCUAUG